This is a long non-coding RNA of Priapulus caudatus, 248 nucleotides long. RefSeq lists it as uncharacterized. NCBI's taxonomy places the organism in Eukaryota, Metazoa, Priapulida, Priapulimorpha, Priapulimorphida, Priapulidae. The record is from RefSeq and is a predicted model, not a curated record. The transcript is spliced from 3 exons.
CCAAAAUCGAGAACUGAAAUGCCGCGACGACGACGGGUUCGUCGCUACGUUCCCCAAGAGCCGAACUACGUUCGCGCAGGAGAUAACCUGGCUCGUUCUACACGAUGCCGACCCGAAGUCGAGACAGGGAAGAAAGUUUGAUGAACGCCAUGCCUGAGAUCGGCUACAGUUGGCGCGGGAACGAGUAUGUGCCGCGAGAUGAGAUGGAGUCGCCACGAAUAUUCAAAACGCACUAUCCGUGGAGAACG